Molecule: ribosomal RNA, 497 nt
Filed under: uncultured bacterium
Lineage: Bacteria
Description: partial 16S ribosomal RNA
Rfam family: Bacterial small subunit ribosomal RNA
Source: RNAcentral
GAUGAACGCUGGCGGCGUGCCUAAUACGUGCAAGUCGAGCGAACAGACGAGGAGCUUGCUCCUCUGACGUUAGCGGCGGACGGGUGAGUAACACGUGGAUAACCUACCUAUAAGACUGGGAUAACUUCGGGAAACCGGAGCUAAUACCGGAUAACAUGUUGAACCGCAUGGUUCAACAGUGAAAGACGGUCUUGCUGUCACUUAUAGAUGGAUCCGCGCCGCAUUAGCUAGUUGGUAAGGUAACGGCUUACCAAGGCAACGAUGCGUAGCCGACCUGAGAGGGUGAUCGGCCACACUGGAACUGAGACACGGUCCAGACUCCUACGGGAGGCAGCAGUAGGGAAUCUUCCGCAAUGGGCGAAAUCCUGACGGAGCAACGCCGCGUGAGUGAAGAAGGUCUUCGGAUCGUAAAACUCUGUUAUUAGGGAAGAACAAAUGUGUAAGUAACUAUGCACGUCUUGACGGUACCUAAUCAGAAAGCCACGGCUAACUACGUG